AUGGCGGAGUCUGCUCUGCUUCUUGUCAUACAAAAGAUUGGCACAGCCGUGGCAGCAGAAACGUUCAACUUCACUAUACCAUUACUUGCAAGGAAAUCUGCUGCCGUGGCAGCACUGCCAAAUGACAUGAAAAUGAUAAGGAAUCAACUUGAGCUUAUACGCGCGUUUCUUGAGGAUACCGGCAGGAAAGGCUGCACUGAUCGAGUCAUAGAAGCAUGGACAGGGCAAGCACGAAAAUUGGCCUAUGAUAUGGAAGACAUUGUGGAUCAGUUUAUCUAUGUCGUUGGUAAACACAAUGUGCAGGAAGGAUCAUGGUGGUGUUGUAUGAAGAAAAUUGCCAAAAAACCUCAAUCUUUGUUUACAUUAGAUCAGAUUGCUACUGCAAUUGGUGGAAUAAAGCAACAGCUUAGAGAGCUCAAAGAAAAUAAAGACUGGACUCAGCCAAUAGGUGGUGUGCGUAAUGAUAUUCUUGCAACGGAAUAUGACAGUCAUUAUGCUCCUGGACAAGAUUACUCGAUUGCUGAUGAUGAGCUUGUAGGAAUUGAUAAAGAUCGAAAAAUCUGGAUCAAGUCAUUGCUUCUUGAAGGUGGUCCUGGACGGCGGCUCAUUGCUCUGUGGGGUAUGGGAGGAAUUGGAAAAAGCACUCUAGUCAACAGUUUGUACAAAAGUGAGGCAUCCAAGUUUGAUUGCCAUGCAUGGGUUUCUGUGUCCCAGUCAUAUAUACUGGAGGAUAUUUGGAGAAACAUGUUGAGAGGACUCCGUAAAAAUUUCAAGGAAGAAUCUGAUGCUUCUAAUAUGAACAGUACUGUAGAGAAAGUGGAAAAGAUGAGCAGUGAAGAACUGCAGGCUGAAUUGAAGCAAAUCCUGGGGGGAAAGCGGUACUUGAUCGUACUGGAUGAUGUCUGGAGACCUCAACAUCUUCAGGAAAUUCAACAGGUUCUUAUCGAUAAUGGCUUGGGUAGCAGAGCAAUAACCACGACAAGAAGUGAGGAAGUUGCUGAAGUGGCUGAACUGGCUGAGGCUGGCUGUAAGAUCAAAGUAGAGCCUCUAGAGGCUGAUGAUGCAUGGCGUCUGUUUUGCAGGAAAGCUUUCCCAAGGUUUGAAAACAACAUCUGCCCAACAGAGCUAGUCCAGUGUGGUAAGGACAUUGUGAAUAAAUGUGGCGGUUUGCCGCUAGCGCUAGUGGCAAUAGGGAGCAUAUUGUCCCUUAAAGUGCGCAAUGUUAGAGUGUGGAGGCUAUUCUAUGAGCAGCUUAAUUGGGAGCUGCACAACAAUGAGAACCUAUCCCAUGUGGAGAAAAUACUAAACCUCAGCUACAAGUAUCUGCCCAACCAUUUGAAGAGUUGUUUCUUGUAUUGUGCAAUGUUCCCAGAAGACUAUUGGAUCCAGAGAAAAAGAUUGAUUAGAUUGUGGAUCUCAGAAGGGUUUGUUCCACAAGCAGGAGCGUUGUUCUUGGAAGAAGUUGCUGAAGGUUAUCUGGAAGAACUCGUCCAACGAAGCAUGCUUCAUGUUGUAGAGAGGAACUCAUCUGGUAGGCUUCGGCGUGUCCAGAUGCAUGAUAUUGUGCGCGAACUAGCCAUUUCCCAGUCUAAAAAGGAGUGUUUCAGUACAACUUAUGAUGACACUCAUGUGAGAGACCAACAUGUGGGGUUGGAUUCUCGUCGUGUGUCGGUGCUGCGAUGCAAAAAUGGCCUUGGAUCAAGCAUACAUCCAGCAGCCAGGCUUCGCUCCUUGAUAGCAUUUGACAGCACCGUGAGAUCAUCAGCUCCAUUGUUUCCCUCGGAAUCUAAGUACAUUGCUGUGUUGGAAUUAUCAGGCUUGCCUAUUGACACUAUUCCAGAUUCAGUUGGGGAGCUUUUCAAUAUCAAGUAUUUGGGCCUUGAUCGCACCAAUGUGAAGAAACUCCCAAGUUCUGUUACCAAGCUUCACAAUUUAGAGACAUUGAGUAUUCGAGAUGGACAGUGCCUGAGUUUGCCUCGAGGGUCCCAGAGACUCAAGAGACUGCGACACAUACUUAUCUACAAAAUGCUGGAUAAAACAUGGAGUAGGUUUAGAAGUCAUGAAUCUAUGGUGCCAUUUGAGGGCAUGUGGGAUUUGCAGGAGUUGCAAUCUCUGCAUACAGUUGGAGCCAAUAAGGUUUUUGUUGCAAAACUAGGGAAUUUGUCUCAGAUGAGGUUCCUUCUCAUUACUGAGGUGAAGAGCAGUUACUGUCCACAAUUGUGUGACUCUAUAUCAAAGCUACGUCACCUUUCAAGAUUAGAAUUAAGAGCCAGUUACUGUGAGGAAGUGCUACAGCUGGAUAAUUUGACACUGCCAAAGCGUCUCGACAAGCUCACUUUGGUAGGGGGAUUGUCCCAAGGCUUUCUGGAAUCUCCAUUUUUCUCGAAGCAUGGAGAUGAACUUGUUCGACUAGAGCUGUAUUAUUCCCAGCUCGUGGUUGAUCCAACGCCACGCCUCUACAGGUUGGCGAAAUUGAGCCGUAUUGUUCUCCGAAGUGCGUAUAUUGGACAGGCACGACCCGUGGUUGCAAAUGCUUCGGAAAUAUCUAAACUGAGAGACGAGCUCCCUGCAGACUCGACUUGA
This 2583-nucleotide ribosomal RNA is filed under the name Triticum aestivum (bread wheat). RNAcentral's name for it is "partial small subunit ribosomal RNA". Lineage: Eukaryota; Viridiplantae; Streptophyta; Magnoliopsida; Poales; Poaceae. The record is from RNAcentral.